Non-coding RNA from Podarcis lilfordi (Lilford's wall lizard), 77 nucleotides. The record is from the annotation of a GenBank genome assembly. Lineage: Eukaryota; Metazoa; Chordata; Lepidosauria; Squamata; Lacertidae.
UUUACACAGAGCUCAAUGGACAGAACAUGGGACUCUUAAUCUCAGGGUCACGGAUUCGAAUCUCCCGUUGGGCAAAA